CGCUGACCGCGGGCGUAAACGGCGGAGCGGUACGGGAUGCGACCCCGUAAAAAGCGUA
This 58-nucleotide non-coding RNA is filed under the name unclassified sequences. The record is from Rfam.